Molecule: ribosomal RNA, 449 nt
Filed under: Ascomycota sp. ARIZ PAMan2-6
Lineage: Eukaryota; Fungi; Ascomycota
Description: eukaryotic LSU rRNA
Rfam family: 5.8S ribosomal RNA (bases 128-281)
Source: RNAcentral
GCUUUGCCUGCUAUCUCUUACCCAUGUCUUUUGAGUACCUUACGUUUCCUCGGCGGGUCCGCCCGCCGAUUGGACAAUUUAAACCAUUUGCAGUUGCAAUCAGCGUCUGAAAAAACUUAAUAGUUACAACUUUCAACAACGGAUCUCUUGGUUCUGGCAUCGAUGAAGAACGCAGCGAAAUGCGAUAAGUAGUGUGAAUUGCAGAAUUCAGUGAAUCAUCGAAUCUUUGAACGCACAUUGCGCCCCUUGGUAUUCCAUGGGGCAUGCCUGUUCGAGCGUCAUUUGUACCUUCAAGCUCUGCUUGGUGUUGGGUGUUUGUCUCGCCUCUGCGUGUAGACUCGCCUCAAAACAAUUGGCAGCCGGCGUAUUGAUUUCGGAGCGCAGUACAUCUCGCGCUUUGCACUCAUAACGACGACGUCCAAAAGUACAUUUUUACACUCUUGACCUCG